CCUACGGGAGGCAGCAGUGAGGAAUAUUGGUCAAUGGGCGGAAGCCUGAACCAGCCAAGCCGCGUGAGGGAAUAAGGCCCUACGGGUCGUAAACCUCUUUUGCCGGGGAGCAAGGGCGGGGACGUGUCCCUGCCCGGAGGGUACCCGGAGAAAAAGCAUCGGCUAACGCCGGUCCAGCAGCCGCGGUAAUACGGAGGAUGCGGGCGUUAGCCGGAUUUAUUGGGUUAAAAGGUUGCGUAGGCGGGCUUUUAAGUCAGCGGUAAAAAUUCGGGGGGCAACCCCGUCCGGCCGUUGAAACUGGGGGCCUUGAGUGGGCGAGAAGAAGGCGGAAUGCGUGGUGUAGCGGUGAAAUGCAUAGAUAUCACGCAGAACCCCGAUUGCGAAGGCAGCCUACCGGCGCCCUACUGACGCUGAGGCACGAAAGUGCGGGGAUCGAACAGGAUUAGAUACCCCGGUAGUC
This 460-nucleotide ribosomal RNA is filed under the name uncultured bacterium. Its description in RNAcentral is "partial 16S ribosomal RNA". It matches the Rfam family "Bacterial small subunit ribosomal RNA", at positions 338 to 795 of the family's 1533-position model. The record is from RNAcentral.